GUGCAUGCCCACGCACCGUGAGAUAUCUUCACUGCUGUGGCUCAGUGAGUUAUUUUGCCCUCCCAGCAUUUUGGGACUUUAACAGUGUAAUUAUCAGAGCCUCUCUAUCACAGCAGCAGCGGGUCCAUUAACGAUGCUGCAGAGGAGGCCCGUCCCCUGUCGUAACAACUCAUCCUUCCUCCGGGUCUUCCUCCUGAACAACAAGCUUCUUUAACAUUCCACACGUUGACCGGACGUGAUAACCGCUCCACCUGCCAUUGAAAUUCCCCUCAGCCCACCUUUCCUGGGAGAUUUAUCCCCUUGGUCAUGCUGUAUUUACAGAGACAGCAGGCUAUCAGACAGUAAACCGCUGUGAGCAAUCAAGACCACGUUAAGUUUGUCCAACAACCUGCACAGAAUUAAAUCUAGAUCCACAGCCUCGGGCGAGGGACAGACCUGACUUUGAUUGCUUUUUCAAAAUGUUUGAAAAGCUUUUUGAGCUGCUAUUUUCCUAUUAUUACUGCUACAUAUUCAGCAAAGUGGAAAAAAAAAGCAAAGGAAUGUAGCCUCAUAAAGAAACUUUCUCAACAAUAACACACACACACAGAGGGAAUGAAUUUGCCAUUUUUAUGUUAUUACAUUAUGCCUGAGACAAAAGGACAACUACAAUCUUUUGCCUUUUUUCUUUCCUUUGUUUCUUCUUUGUCUAUUAAAAACUCUAUUAAAAAUGAAAAGCCCUGAA
Seriola aureovittata is the source of this 721-nucleotide long non-coding RNA. RefSeq lists it as uncharacterized. The record is from RefSeq and is a predicted model, not a curated record. NCBI's taxonomy places the organism in Eukaryota, Metazoa, Chordata, Actinopteri, Carangiformes, Carangidae. The transcript is spliced from 2 exons.